UUUCAUAUGCUGUGGCAGUACUGUAGACAGUGAGGUUUAUCCAAGGUGCAAUUAUUGCUACUUGAAAAGUAAGAUUAACAGUGGGAAUUUGUACAAUGUCUCACAGGAU
Molecule: small nuclear RNA, 109 nt
Filed under: Coturnix japonica (Japanese quail)
Lineage: Eukaryota; Metazoa; Chordata; Aves; Galliformes; Phasianidae
Description: U4 spliceosomal RNA (ENSCJPG00005016721.1)
Rfam family: U4 spliceosomal RNA
About the family: U4 small nuclear RNA (U4 snRNA) is a component of the major U2-dependent spliceosome.
Source: Rfam by way of RNAcentral